AAACGGCAUGGUCAGCCAUGGAUGGAGGAGGAAGAAGCCUCGUGUUAUAUUCUUUCAAUGACCACAUGCAUUCUAAAAGAACUGCACUAAAAAUGGCAGCGAUCUGUUGGAUAAUGGCAAUGGAGAUAAUGUACCGAUGUGAACGCUACUUUCACAUGAAAGCCCAAAAUGAGUAAAAUGUGUUCCUUUGCGUUUGAUAUUUCAUACGAAACGCAUACGCCAAUAAUAAAGACGUAUGGAGCUUCUACCUGCUGUCUGAACGUCGGGAAGCCGUUUCUGUCUUAGACAACUCGACAGUGACCCUUACGAUGGCAUUGGAUGCAUCCUCCGUCAAAGACAUCAGACUUAUGUUCGGCGUCGUCUGCAUCCACUUCAAGAUCGGGCCCGCCUGAGUAUCGCACGCGAUUGUGAGCAAUGCCGUUGUUCCGCACGUCUAAUUAUUUUCCCCGCAACCCGAUUAAAAGUCAUUACAGCACGUUAACAGUUGAUAGAUUUUGACUUUUAUUUAGAAUAUCAGUUAUGCAAAUUCGCAAACUCCUGAACGAACAGUUGAAAGCUAACU
Molecule: long non-coding RNA, 562 nt
Organism: Lingula anatina
Lineage: Eukaryota; Metazoa; Brachiopoda; Lingulata; Lingulida; Lingulidae
Source: RefSeq, a predicted model, not a curated record